Molecule: unclassified non-coding RNA, 376 nt
Filed under: plant metagenome
Description: partial contains 5.8S ribosomal RNA, internal transcribed spacer 2, and large subunit ribosomal RNA
Rfam family: 5.8S ribosomal RNA (bases 1-105)
Source: RNAcentral
GAAAUGCGAUAAGUAAUGUGAAUUGCAGAAUUCAGUGAAUCAUCGAAUCUUUGAACGCACCUUGCGCUCCUUGGUAUUCCUUGGAGCAUGCCUGUUUGAGUAUCAUGAAAUCUUCAAAGUAAAUCUUUUGUUAACUCAAUUGGUUUCUACUUUGGUAUUGGAGGUCUUUGCAGCUUCACACCUGCUCCUCUUUGUUCAUUAGCUGGAUCUCAGUGUUAUGCUUGGUUCCACUCGGCGUGAUAAGUUAUCUAUCGCUGAGGACACUAAAAGGUGGCCAAGGUAAAUGCAGAUGAACCGCUUCUAAUAGUCCAUUGACUUGGACAAUACUUUUAUGAUCUGAUCUCAAAUCAGGUAGGACUACCCGCUGAACUUAAGC